Molecule: ribosomal RNA, 253 nt
Filed under: uncultured bacterium
Lineage: Bacteria
Description: partial 16S ribosomal RNA
Rfam family: Bacterial small subunit ribosomal RNA
Source: RNAcentral
UACGUAGGUGGCAAGCGUUGUCCGGAAUUAUUGGGCGUAAAGCGCGCGCAGGUGGUUUCUUAAGUCUGAUGUGAAAGCCCACGGCUCAACCGUGGAGGGUCAUUGGAAACUGGGGAACUUGAGUGCAGGAGAGAAGAGUGGAAUUCCACGUGUAGCGGUGAAAUGCGUAGAGAUGUGGAGGAACACCAGUGGCGAAGGCGACUCUGUGGCCUGUAACUGACGCUGAGACGCGAAAGCGUGGGGAGCAAACAGG